RNAcentral lists this ribosomal RNA (253 nucleotides) under uncultured bacterium. RNAcentral describes it as "partial 16S ribosomal RNA". It matches the Rfam family "Bacterial small subunit ribosomal RNA", at positions 524 to 776 of the family's 1533-position model. The record is from RNAcentral.
UACGGAGGGAGCUAGCGUUGUUCGGAAUUACUGGGCGUAAAGCGCGCGUAGGCGGCUUUGCAAGUUAGAGGUGAAAGCCCGGGGCUCAACCCCGGAACUGCCUUUAAAACUGCAUCGCUUGAAUCCGGGAGAGGUGAGUGGAAUUCCGAGUGUAGAGGUGAAAUUCGUAGAUAUUCGGAAGAACACCAGUGGCGAAGGCGGCUCACUGGACCGGUAUUGACGCUGAGGUGCGAAAGCGUGGGGAGCAAACAGG